GAUGAACGCUGGCGGCGUGCCUAAUACAUGCAAGUCGAGCGAACAGAUGAGGAGCUUGCUCCUCUGACGUUAGCGGCGGACGGGUGAGUAACACGUGGAUAACCUACCUAUAAGACUGGGAUAACUUCGGGAAACCGGAGCUAAUACCGGAUAAUAUAUUGAACCGCAUGGUUCAAUAGUGAAAGACGGUUUUGCUGUCACUUAUAGAUGGAUCCGCGCCGCAUUAGCUAGUUGGUAAGGUAACGGCUUACCAAGGCGACGAUGCGUAGCCGACCUGAGAGGGUGAUCCGCCACCCUGACUCUGAGACGCGCCCCAGACCCCUGCGGGGGGCCGCAGUGGAAACUUUCGGCAUUGGCCAAAGCCCUACCGGGGCACGGCGCCGUAGGUAUGAAGGUUCUCCGAUCGUUAAACCCCUGUUUUAGGGAAGAACAAAUGUGUAAGUAACUAUGCACGUCUUGACGGUACCUAAUCAGAAAGCCACGGCUAACUACGUG
RNAcentral lists this ribosomal RNA (495 nucleotides) under uncultured bacterium. RNAcentral's name for it is "partial 16S ribosomal RNA". It matches the Rfam family "Bacterial small subunit ribosomal RNA", at positions 28 to 507 of the family's 1533-position model. The record is from RNAcentral.